RNAcentral lists this long non-coding RNA (2076 nucleotides) under Haliotis rubra (blacklip abalone). RNAcentral's name for it is "uncharacterized LOC124257693". Lineage: Eukaryota; Metazoa; Mollusca; Gastropoda; Lepetellida; Haliotidae. The record is from RNAcentral.
GCUAACCUUAACACUAAGACUGUCGUAAGUCCAUGUCAAGGUAUGAGAGUUGUGUUAACCUUAACACUAAGACUGUCGUAAGUCUAUGUCAAGGUAUGAGAGUUAUGCUAACCUUAACGCUAAGAAUGAUUUGUACAACGGCACCCUGGCAAGCUUUUCUUGAAACAUUCGUAGCCCCAUGAAUUUCUUAAACCCAUUAUUAACACAUUGGCUAUGAUCAAAGUUAAGAAUUCAUAGGGCUACGACCAUUUCGAGAAUACAGGCCAUUAACUCCAGUAACUUAUUAAGAGUGAAAAUCCAUUAUGUGCUUUCAGUGUUUCAGUAUAAUUACUUUCAUUAGAAUAUUUAUCCAGAACUAUGUGCAUGUAUAAUGAGCAUGUCUAACCAGUUUUGAAGUUUCAUCUGCGUGCUUCAGUAAUUCUUGUCCAGAACGUUCUGUCUUCACAGACUGAUUUACACCAUGCUCAAAUUGAAGAAGUGUUCACUCCAGUAUUGUACAGUAGGUGUUGUAGCUGUAGAUAUGGUCUGUGUCAUGUGCUCGGUAGUGGGACUCUGAUAGUCAGUAGUGUUGUCAAAAGAGAACUACUGUGAUUGAGAUGAUAUUCAGAAACCUUAGUGCUGGAGUACUGACAGCUGAUCAGGUUUUCCUCAUGGAUAUUCUGAUUCUACCAAGAUGUGGGUACAAAUCAAAAUAAUUUAUUUAUGAUGUGUCUUUCAAACACUUGAAUUAAAGAUAAUAGAAGAAGAACUAUAUGUUUUCUAAUAUGUAUUUAUAACAAAAAAUUGUGUUAAAUUAAAGCUAAGUUUAGGAUGAUCCACAAAGAGGAAGACAGUUGAGUUGAUUUAACUAUAAGAUGGUUUUUAUACUGAUACACACAUGAUGUAGUUAGCUGAUACCAAGUGAUGGGUUCCAGUGCAAUGGCUUUAGAACGAAAUAGUAUUUAAUCAUUUUUACAUUAUUUUUUUUUUUUCAUGUGACCCUCUUUCAACUGAAAACCUACCAGAGCAAAUGUAGAUAGUUUGCAGGAAAUGUGAAUUUCAAAUACUGUAUUUAGCUCCUUUACUGUUUACAUACGAUAUUUAAGCAAUUCCUUCUGUAAUAAGCCCCCGGGCACUUAAAGAUGAACUCUUUGGCAGUUUUCUGUUUAACCACAGACUGCAAGUAUGGAAUGCUGCUGUUGUGACAGGGACAUUGGCUAAUGUGACAAUGGUAUUAGCAUUGUGAUGUCAUAACUGUCAACCAUUAUGACGUCAUACGUCUACCGGUAUUACACAAUAUACACUGCAGUAAUAAAAUGAUGUCAUAAUGCAUUAGGGAUCACUGUGACAUCAUUAGUCGCCAUGACAUCACUGAUCUCUCUUGCACUGAAACUGGAUUUGAUUUAGGAUUAGUCCCCAACAACCAGGGUCCCCAUAGAUUUUCCAUUUUGUAAUGUUGAUCUAGAUUUUUAAUUAAUUUUGAAAUCUCCUUAGCUUAACAAUUAUACAGGUAUUGCGUAAUGUUUUUUGCAUAAGGUAACGGGAUCCCAUUAAUGUUGUUUUUAAAACCUUGAUAUUUCCUUUGUAUAUCAACAGCUUAGAAGUACUAAUUGUUUCCUCCUGCAUGUAGUAGCACUGUAACCCUCUCCACAGAGGAACCUUGUUGUGUCUGACAGUAGCCCUCAGUGAAACUCUCGGAAUGUGUGCUACAUGGUCUAGUGGUCAGCAGCCCGUGUCAGCCCAUAAUUACAAUAAUAGGCACUACAGUAAUGCUCAAUAUGACUGACAUGUUUUUAUAUGGAAGUAGCACUUGACUCACCACUAACACUGAAUGUUUUAGCAGGGUCAGAAGCCGCAUCUCACGAUGUUCCAGAAACCUGUAGUCAUGGGUUCAAAUCCCAGUUCUUCAAGGUUAUUCAGCUCCUCAGCCGUGCCCAUGAGUGUCAGCAUGCCCAUGAGUGUCAGCCGUGCCAGUGAGUGUCAGCCUGCCCAUGAGUGUCAGUGUGCCCAUGAGUGUCAGCCUGCCCAUGAGUGUCAGCGUGCCCAUGAGUGUCAGCGUGCCCAUGAAGCGUGCCCAUGAGUGUCAGCAUGCCCAUG